CAGUAGCCGCGGUAAUACGAAGGGGGCUAGCGUUGUUCGGAAUUACUGGGCGUAAAGCGCACGUAGGCGGAUAUUUAAGUCAGGGGUGAAAUCCCAGAGCUCAACUCUGGAACUGCCUUUGAUACUGGGUAUCUUGAGUAUGGAAGAGGUGAGUGGAAUUCCGAGUGUAGAGGUGAAAUUCGUAGAUAUUCGGAGGAACACCAGUGGCGAAGGCGGCUCACUGGUCCAUUACUGACGCUGAGGUGCGAAAGCGUGGGGAGCAAACAGGAUUAGAUACCCCGGUAGUCCAUGUCUCUUAUAC
RNAcentral lists this ribosomal RNA (301 nucleotides) under uncultured bacterium. RNAcentral's name for it is "partial 16S ribosomal RNA". It matches the Rfam family "Bacterial small subunit ribosomal RNA", at positions 509 to 807 of the family's 1533-position model. The record is from RNAcentral.